GUGGGGAAUUUUGGACAAUGGGCGAAAGCCUGAUCCAGCAAUGCCGCGUGUGUGAAGAAGGCCUUCGGGUUGUAAAGCACUUUUGUCCGGAAAGAAAUGGCUCUGGUUAAUACCUGGGGUCGAUGACGGUACCGGAAGAAUAAGGACCGGCUAACUACGUGCCAGCAGCCGCGGUAAUACGUAGGGUCCAAGCGUUAAUCGGAAUUACUGGGCGUAAAGCGUGCGCAGGCGGUUGUGCAAGACCGAUGUGAAAUCCCCGAGCUUAACUUGGGAAUUGCAUUGGUGACUGCACGGCUAGAGUGUGUCAGAGGGGGGUAGAAGUCCACGUGUAGCAGUGAAAUGCGUAGAGAUGUGGAGGAAUACCGAUGGCGAAGGCAGCCCCCUGGGAUAACACUGACGCUCAUGCACGAAAGCGUGGGGAGCAAACAGGAUUAGAUACCCGAGUAGUCC
This 450-nucleotide ribosomal RNA is filed under the name uncultured bacterium. Its description in RNAcentral is "bacterial SSU rRNA". It matches the Rfam family "Bacterial small subunit ribosomal RNA", at positions 354 to 796 of the family's 1533-position model. The record is from RNAcentral.